This 658-nucleotide ribosomal RNA is filed under the name Diacyclops improcerus. RNAcentral describes it as "SSU rRNA". It matches the Rfam family "Eukaryotic small subunit ribosomal RNA", at positions 618 to 1271 of the family's 1831-position model. Lineage: Eukaryota; Metazoa; Arthropoda; Copepoda; Cyclopoida; Cyclopidae. The record is from RNAcentral.
GUUAAAAAGCUCGUAGUUGGAUCUCGGCGGGCAGGAGGCGGUCCGUUAUUUGACGCGACUGCCUCAUUUGCCCGUGUUUCUUCGGCAGAACUCCCGGGGUGCUCUUCGCCGAGUGUCCCGUUGGGGGCUGCCAGGUUUACUUUGAAAAAAUUAGAGUGCUCCAAGCAGGCUCGACACGCCUGAAUAUUCGUGCAUGGAAUAAUGGAAUAGGACGUCGUUCCUAUUUUGUUGGUUUUCGGGAAUCGACGUAAUGAUUAAUAGGGACAGCCGGGGGCAUUAGUAUUCAGACGACAGAGGUGAAAUUCUUGGACCGUCUGGCGACUCACUGCUGCGAAAGCGUUUGCCAAGUAUGUUUUCAUUAAUCAAGAACGAAAGUUAGAGGUUCGAAGGCGAUCAGAUACCGCCCUAGUUCUAACCAUAAACGAUGCCAGCUAGCGAUCCGCAGACGUUUUUAUUGUAGGCUCUGCGGGAAGCUUCCGGGAAACCAAAGCGUUUGGGUUCCGGGGGAAGUAUGGUUGCAAAGCUGAAACUUAAAGAAAUUGACGGAAGGGCACCACCAGGCGUGGAACUUGCGGCUUAAUUUGACUCAACACUGGAAAUCUCACCAGGCCCGGACACCGGAAGGAUUGACAGAUUGAGAGCUCUUUCUCGAUUCGGU